UACGUAGGGGGCAAGCGUUAUCCGGAUUUACUGGGUGUAAAGGGAGCGUAGACGGCGAUGCAAGUCUGAAGUGAAAGGCGGGGGCCCAACCCCCGGACUGCUUUGGAAACUGUAUAGCUGGAGUGCGGGAGAGGUAAGUGGAAUUCCUAGUGUAGCGGUGAAAUGCGUAGAUAUUAGGAGGAACACCAGUGGCGAAGGCGGCUUACUGGACUGUAACUGACGUUGAGGCUCGAAAGCGUGGGGAGCAAACAGG
This 253-nucleotide ribosomal RNA is filed under the name uncultured bacterium. RNAcentral's name for it is "partial 16S ribosomal RNA". It matches the Rfam family "Bacterial small subunit ribosomal RNA", at positions 524 to 776 of the family's 1533-position model. The record is from RNAcentral.